Oryzias melastigma (Indian medaka) is the source of this 675-nucleotide long non-coding RNA. RefSeq lists it as uncharacterized. The record is from RefSeq and is a predicted model, not a curated record. Lineage: Eukaryota; Metazoa; Chordata; Actinopteri; Beloniformes; Adrianichthyidae. The transcript has 2 exons.
CUCCUUGAACUGAGGGAGAAACCGGACAAAUUAGGAACAGCGACUCCAGUGAGACGGACAGCUCCUCUGAGGAAGAGAAGCUCCAGAACUUUAAAGACGAACCGUUUCUAACAAGAUGAUUCAGAGUCUUCAUCAGAAGGUGUUCCUCUCCGGCUCGGUGACCUCCUGCUGACGGAGGCGAAGACCAGAGGAGCAGAGCGAUCUGCAGCCGUGACUCAUCGCAGGACGCUCCCGCAGGAGCCGCUUCCUCUCACUCGACGCUCGAACACCGACGCGUGACCGGCUUUGUUUUAACGUGAUAACGGAACGCUGCAGGACUCACCUGCUUGAUCUGGUCGGACUCAGACACCUGCAUCGCCAUGGUUACCGCUCUGCAAGGAAAUAACACAAAUAGAAUCAACAAAUCCUUCAGAUGUGGAGCAGCAGAAUGAGAGGGAAAAGGUGAGAGCGGAUCUGGGGGUCAACAGAGAACUGUGUUUAACAGAAUCUGUGGAGGAAGGAAAACUGAUUCACAGAAACAACAAUCUCCAUCUCAGCCUCCAAGAGGAAUCUUUGCCCUCCAACCUGUUUAGAGCUUGUGGUGCGUUCAGGUACUGCCGAUAAUGAUGGAAAUGUCAUUCUCCUCAUUGUUUAUUGAUUAAGUCAAUAAAAUUACACAUUUUGCAGAGAAAUUCA